CCUCCAUUAUUGCUAGUUACUUGUUGCCAUUAUUUGACCUUUAUGACUAAGAAUAACGAAAAUCCACAGUUUUCAAAUAAUCUACUGUUCAAGAAAUAUGUAUUCAUAAUAUAAUACAUAAAAAUCGAAAUAAAAUUGUUGAAAUGUUUAUGAAAGAGUAUGAAUUGCUGUUGUUUUAAUUUGUUCGUUUUCCCUAGAGUGGCAGAACUCUAAGCUAGACACUUCUGUCACAAGUUUUGAUUUUUGAACGUAGAAUGAUUCUGGCUUUCUCCAUACAAAAAAUUCAAAACAUUGUAGAAACGUGGCUGAAUGAAUAUUUAAAACAGGUAUAAUGGAAUAAUGGGUUGUGUUAGAUUCUUUCAGACACCAUAGUGGAAAUGGAACCCCUGCCCUGGCCAGAUGGGAAACUAAAGUUUCUCUUCUCACCAUUAUUUUCAUUGAACUUCAUUGCAACAGUGAUAAUAACUCAAACAAAUCUCUAUUCUCAAAGGGUGAUGGUGCGAUACAGAAGGGUAUGCCUCACAAGUCUUACCAUGGUAAAACGGGACGAGUAUUCAAUGUAACAAAACGUGGUUUGGGUAUAAUUGUCAAUAAGCAAGUAAAG
Molecule: non-coding RNA, 604 nt
Organism: Paramuricea clavata
Lineage: Eukaryota; Metazoa; Cnidaria; Anthozoa; Malacalcyonacea; Plexauridae
Source: the annotation of a GenBank genome assembly